AGAGUUUGAUCAUGGCUCAGAACGUACGCUGGCGGCACGCCUAACACAUGCAAGUCGAACGAAGUAGCAAUCCUUAGUGGCAGACGGGUGAGUAACAUGUGGGUAUCUACCCUUUGGCCUGGAAUAACACGAGGAAACUUGUGCUAAUACCGGAUAAGUCUUUACGGAGAAAGCUUUAUGCACCAUUGGAUGAGCCUGCACUUGAUUAGUUUGUUGGUAGGGUAAUGGCCUACCAAGACUGUGAUCAAUAGCUGAUUNGAGAGGAUGAUCAGCCACAUUGGNNCUNAGACACGGCCCAAACUCCUACGGGAGGCAGCAGUGGGGAAUCU
Molecule: ribosomal RNA, 329 nt
Filed under: uncultured bacterium
Lineage: Bacteria
Description: bacterial SSU rRNA
Rfam family: Bacterial small subunit ribosomal RNA
Source: RNAcentral